CUUUUUUGGCUUCUAUGAAAAGGAAUAAUUUUAUAUUUGGUCUGCACUUGAUAAUGUUGGGUUGUACGAGUAACAGUUUGUACAUCAGCGGUACAGCCACUUCUUGUUUGAAAAUAGCUUGAAAUUUUACAACACUCAUUUUUCAAGGAAUAUUUUUGUCAAAGUUUUCGUGGCUUCAAUGAAAGGGAAUGAUUAGUUGUUUUUAAGUAUAAAUGUUACCUCAAUCAAUUUCAAGCAGUGACGCAAAUGCAAAGCCAGGAGAUUACCUAUUUGUAUUAGCUUAAACUCAAAUUGUGAUAUGUUACCUUUGGUCAUUGUUGAAGGCCGUACAGUGACCUGUAGCUGUUAAUUUCUGUGUCAUUUGGUCUCUUGUGGAGAGUUGUCUCAUUGGCAAUCAUACCACAUCUUUUUAUACCCUCCACAAACAGGCAAUAUAAAAUUAUUGAGCCAUUUUAUUCUAUACAUCAAUCAUGCAACUAAAUUAAAAAUUAAACUUUUGAUGUCCAUUUUUUUGUGUAUUAUAUUGAAAUUUUCUAUUUGAGUGUAUUGUUUAUGUUCAUUAUUGCAUGGCAGUUGAAUGGGGAAAUUCAGAACUGCCAUAUUAUUUUCAAAUAUUGAUUUGUUAUUUGAAUUUUUUGUGUGAGUGUAAUAAUUUAUCAAAGCAUUUCUUUGCAGGUGCUCAGUUUUUAAUUUAGGUUUACUUUUUGAGAAUAAUUUCAAUAAAUAAGGUGUCAUGAGGCCUGUUACUGGUCUCAAAUUCAAUAUUGGACUAAGAAGCCAGUAUUUGAAAUCAUUUUGUUUUAGUUUUUAGAGCUAGUCUUCAUACAGAUUUCAAACUUUCUAAUUGAUGAUCUGUUCCAGUUGACUGAGACAAUAUAUAGCUUUGGUUCUCUUGAUAGGGUGUUUAAGAUAUAAAACUUCAUGAAAAACUGUUAUUCAGAAAUGUGAAAAAGUGAAAUAAUUAUUUACAAAAGGACAUUUUGAAUUCCCAGGGCAGACAGGAACACUAUAUAACAGUAAUCGACCCAUCCACCUAUUCUUUUUCAUUUAAAAAAAUGGUCAAAAGGUUAAGGGUUAAAAUUGCACAAAACGUCUGUCUGCUCAGUUGAAUCAUGUGACAGAGAAAUGUCUGCAGAAGUAAUGAAAUGAAUGGUAGAAAUAUUAUCAUACUGAGUCAAGCUUUUAAGCACUUUCUAUAAACAAAAUAAAAAAUUGCGACAUUAGCAAGUAGAAAAAUAACACAAAUAUUUUGUUGUGAAUAUACUUCCAUCUUAUCCUAUAUAAAUGCAGCGAUAAAUAUAAAGCAUCGCAAAAAUAAAUCUCUGAGAAUUUCAAUAUAAAGGGCAUAACGCGAAAUCAAGUACAUAUUGUAACUGCGAAAAUAAGUUGUUUUACAGUGCUUUUCACACUAAGCAUACCUGAGAAAGGUAAAAGCAGUUUUUUUUUACAGAUUUGCUUUAAGUGCCAGAAGUUUGAAGCUCUGAUUCAAAUCUGUAAGAUAAAAUUAAAAUGUAAUUCAAGGGGCAUACUAUCUUCUGUACCACUCCCCUUUUAAACCUAUAAACAUGAGUGUAUAUGUUUGUAAUGUUUACUCAUUUUGUACACAACAAGUAAAAGUUGUGUAUUGUGUUAUUAAUUAUUCUAUGGUGGCAUGAUAUAUGAAAUUAUGUACAUAUUUAUGUGAUGGAAUGUCAUUUUUAUAAAGAAUUAAAAUGUAAAUAAA
This 1723-nucleotide long non-coding RNA is filed under the name Mytilus galloprovincialis (Mediterranean mussel). The record is from RNAcentral. Lineage: Eukaryota; Metazoa; Mollusca; Bivalvia; Mytilida; Mytilidae.